This 274-nucleotide ribosomal RNA is filed under the name uncultured bacterium. RNAcentral's name for it is "partial 16S ribosomal RNA". It matches the Rfam family "Bacterial small subunit ribosomal RNA", at positions 523 to 796 of the family's 1533-position model. The record is from RNAcentral.
AUACGGAGGGUGCAAGCGUUAAUCGGAAUUACUGGGCGUAAAGCGUACGUAGGCGGUCCGUUAAGUUAGAUGUGAAAGCCCCGGGCUUAACCUGGGAACUGCAUUUAAAACUGGCGGACUAGAGUUGAGUAGAGGGGAGUGGAAUUUCAGGUGUAGCGGUGAAAUGCGUAGAGAUCUGAAGGAACACCAGUGGCGAAGGCGACUCCCUGGACUCGAACUGACGCUGAGGUACGAAAGCGUGGGUAGCAAACGGGAUUAGAUACCCGAGUAGUCC